Molecule: long non-coding RNA, 268 nt
Filed under: Phoenix dactylifera (date palm)
Lineage: Eukaryota; Viridiplantae; Streptophyta; Magnoliopsida; Arecales; Arecaceae
Description: long non-coding RNA (PDAC_LNC020251)
Source: RNAcentral
AAGGAAUUCCCAGAGGGAAAUUAGGGUGUAAAGAAAGUAAAGAAGAGGUGGAGACUCCGAGGAGCUGAAGAUCUGGGAUCCCGAAACCUCCAUCUGAAGCGGCUGCAAUCCCGCCGGAAGUGGGUGCUUCCAACCGGAGGCGCCAUCGGCGUCUCACGAAAAAGACGAAGAGCCGGCGCGGAUGAAGAAGAAGUGGAUGAAGGAGAAGUCCACACUGCUCCUACCCAGAGGCGCCAUCCACGCCUCACGAAAAAGACGAGGAGCCGCC